GACGAACGCUGGCGGCGUGCUUAACACAUGCAAGUCGAACGGAAAGGCCCUGCUUUUGUGGGGUGCUCGAGUGGCGAACGGGUGAGUAACACGUGAGUAACCUGCCCUUGACUUUGGGAUAACUUCAGGAAACUGGGGCUAAUACCGGAUAGGAGCUCCUGCUGCAUGGUGGGGGUUGGAAAGUUUCGGCGGUUGGGGAUGGACUCGCGGCUUAUCAGCUUGUUGGUGGGGUAGUGGCUUACCAAGGCCUUGACGGGUAGCCGGCCUGAGAGGGUGACCGGCCACAUUGGGACUGAGAUACGGCCCAGACUCCUACGGGAGGCAGCAGUGGGGAAUAUUGCACAAUGGGCGGAAGCCUGAUGCAGCAACGCCGCGUGCGGGAUGACGGCCUUCGGGUUGUAAACCGCUUUCGCCUGUGACGAAGCGUGAGUGACGGUAAUGGGUAAAGAAGCACCGGCUAACUACGUGCCAGCAGCCGCGGUGAUACGUAGGGUGCGAGCGUUGUCCGGAUUUAUUGGGCGUAAAGGGCUCGUAGGUGGUUGAUCGCGUCGGAAGUGUAAUCUUGGGGCUUAACCCUGAGCGUGCUUUCGAUACGGGUUGACUUGAGGAAGGUAGGGGAGAAUGGAAUUCCUGGUGGAGCGGUGGAAUGCGCAGAUAUCAGGAGGAACACCAGUGGCGAAGGCGGUUCUCUGGGCCUUUCCUGACGCUGAGGAGCGAAAGCGUGGGGAGCGAACAGGCUUAGAUACCCUGGUAGUCCACGCUGUAAACGGUGGGUACUAGGUGUGGGGUCCAUUCCACGGGUUCCGUGCCGUAGCUAACGCUUUAAGUACCCCGCCUGGGGAGUACGGCCGCAAGGCUAAAACUCAAAGGAAUUGACGGGGCCCCGCACAAGCGGCGGAGCAUGCGGAUUAAUUCGAUGCAACGCGUAGAACCUUACCUGGGUUUGACAUGGAUCGGGAGUGCUCAGAGAUGGGUGUGCCUCUUUUGGGGUCGGUUCACAGGUGGUGCAUGCCUGUCGUCAGCUCGUGUCGUGAGAUGUUGGGUUAAGUCCCGCAACGAGCGCAACCCUUGUUCACUGUUGCCAGCACGUUAUGGUGGGGACUCAGUGGAGACCGCCGGGGUCAACUCGGAGGAAGGUGGGGAUGACGUCAAGUCCUCAUGCCCCUUAUGUCCAGGGCUUCACGCAUGCUACAAUGGCUGGUACAGAGAGUGGCGAGCCUGUGAGGGUGAGCGAAUCUCGGAAAGCCGGUCUCAGUUCGGAUUGGGGUCUGCAACUCGACCUCAUGAAGUCGGAGUCGCUAGUAAUCGCAGAUCAGCAACGCUGCGGUGAAUACAAUCCCGGGGCU
This 1346-nucleotide ribosomal RNA is filed under the name uncultured bacterium. RNAcentral's name for it is "bacterial SSU rRNA". It matches the Rfam family "Bacterial small subunit ribosomal RNA", at positions 28 to 1381 of the family's 1533-position model. The record is from RNAcentral.